This 473-nucleotide ribosomal RNA is filed under the name uncultured bacterium. RNAcentral's name for it is "bacterial SSU rRNA". It matches the Rfam family "Bacterial small subunit ribosomal RNA", at positions 29 to 490 of the family's 1533-position model. The record is from RNAcentral.
AGUGAACGCUGGCGGCAGGCCUAACACAUGCAAGUCGAACGGUAGCACAGAGGAGCUUGCUCCUUGGGUGACGAGUGGCGGACGGGUGAGGAAUACAUCGGAAUCUACCCUGUCGUGGGGGAUAACGUAGGGAAACUUACGCUAAUACCGCAUACGAACUGAGGUUGAAAGCGGCGGACCGCAAGGCGUCGCGCGAUUGGAUGAGCCGAUGUCCGAUUAGCUAGUUGGCGGGGUAAUGGCCCACCAAGGCGACGAUCGGUAGCUGGUCUGAGAGGAUGAUCAGCCACACUGGAACUGAGACACGGUCCAGACUCCUACGGGAGGCAGCAGUGGGGAAUAUUGGACAAUGGGCGCAAGCCUGAUCCAGCCAUGCCGCGUGUGUGAAGAAGGCCUCGGUUGUAAGCACUUUGUUGGGUAAAGAAAGUACCUGUCGGUUAAUACCCGGCGGGCGUGACGGUACCCAAACGAAUAAG